CAAUAGCGUAUAUUAAAGUUGUUGUAGUUAAAAAGCUCGUAGUUGGAUUUCUGGAUGGAGCGACCGGUCGGGCAUUAAUUUGUCUGCACUGGAGUCGGUUCCGUCCAUCCUCUUGGAAAGUGCGUGGGGCAUUAAGUUGUCUGGCGUAUGAUCCAAGUCGUUUACUGUGAAAAAAUUAGAGUGUUUAAAGCAGGCCUUCGCCUUGAAUACAUUAGCAUGGAAUAAUAAGAUAGGACUUUGGUCUAUUUUGUUGGUUUGCAGACCGAAGUAAUGAUUAAUAGGGAUAGUUGGGGGUAUUUAUAUUCCGAUGUCAGAGGUGAAAUUCUUAGAUUUUCGGAAGAUAAACUUAUGCGAAAGCAUUUACCAAGGAUGUUUUCAUUAA
This 382-nucleotide ribosomal RNA is filed under the name uncultured eukaryote. RNAcentral's name for it is "partial 18S ribosomal RNA". It matches the Rfam family "Eukaryotic small subunit ribosomal RNA", at positions 592 to 976 of the family's 1831-position model. The record is from RNAcentral.